UAGGGAAUCUUCCGCAAUGGACGAAAGUCUGACGGAGCAACGCCGCGUGAGUGAAGAAGGAUUUCGGUUCGUAAAACUCUGUUGUUAGGGAAGAAAAAAUGUAUAGUAACUAUAUACAAAAGAGACGGUAACUAACCAGAAAGCCACGGCUAACUACGUGCCAGCAGCCGCAGUAAUACGUAGGUGGCAAGCGUUGUCCGGAAUUAUUGGGCGUAAAGCGCGCGCAGGUGGUUUAGAAAGUCUGAUGUGAAAGCCCACGGCUCAACCGUGGAGGGUCAUUGGAAACUAAUAAACUUGAGUGCAGGAGAGAAAAGUGGAAUUCCUAGUGUAGCGGUGAAAUGCGUAGUAGUUAGGAGGAACACCGGUGGCGAAAGCGGCUUUUUGGCCUGCAACUGACACUGAGGCGCGAAAGCGUGGGGAGCAAACAGG
Molecule: ribosomal RNA, 429 nt
Filed under: Verrucomicrobiota bacterium
Lineage: Bacteria; Pseudomonadati; Verrucomicrobiota
Description: Verrucomicrobia bacterium partial 16S ribosomal RNA
Rfam family: Bacterial small subunit ribosomal RNA
Source: RNAcentral